UUUUUUCUUUUUCCUCCUCCACGCCACUUCUCUUUCUAAAUUCUCAAAUUCUCACAUCUAAAAAAACAAGCCAUUGUCAUCUCAUCCAUCUCUUUAACAAGGUCUGUAUUUAAUUACUACUGUUGACAUUUUACAUUUAUUUAAUACUUUAUUCAUUGUUAAAAUCUUUUUUUAGUUAGAUUUAUUUUGAUAAUUUUUCCAAAUCAUCAAAGACGAGGAGGCAAAGACAAGCAAUUGGCUAUGUUCUCAAUAACAAUUGGUGAUGGAGGUAUAAAUUAUGUCCAGGAUUUGACUUUGACUUAUUUUACAAAUUGGACCUAAAGAAAAUAAGGCAAUGUUUUUCUUCUUUUAACUAAUUUUAUUUUGCUAUUAGCAUUUGGUCUUUAUUUACUAUGAUAGUUUUGUUGUAUAUACAUGAUAAUGUAGACAAAGUUUAGGGAUAUCAGAUGUGGCAUUUAAAUUGGUACUACAAGGUAUGUCCUGAGAUGCAACCUAUAAAUUAUUAUUUUCUUAAUAAAUAAUUCUUGAAUUUGAAGAACAUGCAUAGUCAUUAACAAAGUGAAUGAAUAAUAUAUUGUUUGGUAUUAUAUUACUUUUAUAUAUAUGUAUCUUGUAUUUUAUUAAGUUAUUAUUUAUUAUUUUAACUUUACCUUGGAUGGAUUUUUUUUCUUAUAUAUGUUAUCUUUGUGUUUAUUGUAGGAUAAGUUGGAGGUCGAUGCCUCUAAUGUAUUAGUUUGGAAGCAUAUGAAGAAGUCAAUAAGAGACAACUUCAAGCAAUUUUUAUCACAACUAGAAAAAGCAUUUGAAGAGUAAUUCGCCAUUUAACGAAUUCAUCGAUAAAGAUCAAGGACCAAGACAAUUAGUUAUCUUUUUCAAUUUUUUCAAUGUAUUACUUUAAAUCAUUGACAUUUGUACAUUUUGUAAUUGAAUUUGUAUGAUAAGUUUGUAAAAUUUUUUAACUAUCUUUUUUAUUUAAUCUUACUAUAAUUUGCACA
Molecule: long non-coding RNA, 995 nt
Filed under: Citrus maxima (pomelo)
Lineage: Eukaryota; Viridiplantae; Streptophyta; Magnoliopsida; Sapindales; Rutaceae
Description: long non-coding RNA (CMAX_LNC000361)
Source: RNAcentral